UACGUAGGGUGCGAGCGUUAAUCGGAAUUACUGGGCGUAAAGCGUGCGCAGGCGGUCUCGUAAGACAGGUGUGAAAUCCCCGGGCUCAACCUGGGAACUGCGCUUGUGACUGCGAGGCUAGAGUGCGGAAGAGGGAGGUGGAAUUCCACGUGUAGCAGUGAAAUGCGUAGAGAUGUGGAGGAACACCGAUUGCGAAGGCAGCUUGCUAAACUGAUACUGACGCUGAGUCACGAAAGCGUGGGGAGCAAACAGG
This 253-nucleotide ribosomal RNA is filed under the name uncultured bacterium. RNAcentral's name for it is "partial 16S ribosomal RNA". It matches the Rfam family "Bacterial small subunit ribosomal RNA", at positions 524 to 776 of the family's 1533-position model. The record is from RNAcentral.